Molecule: ribosomal RNA, 528 nt
Filed under: uncultured Acidimicrobiales bacterium
Lineage: Bacteria; Bacillati; Actinomycetota; Acidimicrobiia; Acidimicrobiales
Description: bacterial SSU rRNA
Rfam family: Bacterial small subunit ribosomal RNA
Source: RNAcentral
CGGGGAAUAUUGCGCAAUGGGCGAAAGCCUGACGCAGCAACGCCGCGUGAGGGAUGAAGGCUUUCGGGUUGUAAACCUCUUUCAGCAGGGACGAUUGUGACGGUACCUGCAGAAGAAGCCCCGGCCAACUACGUGCCAGCAGCCGCGGUAACACGUAGGGGGCGAGCGUUGUCCGGAUUUAUUGGGCGUAAAGAGCUCGUAGGUGGUUCGGUAAGUCGGGUGUGAAAACUCUGGGCUCAACUCAGAGACGCCACCCGAUACUGCUGUGACUGGAGUCUGGUAGGGGAGUGUGGAAUUCCCGGUGUAGCGGUGAAAUGCGCAGAUAUCGGGAGGAACACCAGUGGCGAAGGCGGCACUCUGGGCCAGUACUGACACUGAGGAGCGAAAGCGUGGGUAGCGGACAGGAUUAGAUACCCUGGUAGUCCACGCCGUAAACGUUGGGCACUAGGUGUGGGUCUCAACCAACGGGAUCCGUGCCGUAGCUAACGCACUAAGUGCCCCGCCUGGGGAGUACGGCCGCAAGGCUAA